GGCAGCUGGGAAAAGUCAAUGCUAUGCUGAGACUCCAUCUGCACAUGAAAUCACAACUUCACUGUGACUCAGGCAGUAAUUCUUUUUGAGAAGCUCCAUGUUUUCAUAGGGAUAUUGUCAGUAACUGCUGAAAAAAUUGGAUUUGCGAGAAUCAAGGCAUCAGUGACUGUUAUCAUGAAAAGACAAACAAGCAGGUAUUAUAUCCCUCCUAAUGGAACUGUCACCUGGAAAAAACUCUUGCCAAAAAGAUAGAAGCUGAAUUUCAUCAAGAUUCAGUACCUAAUUACCAAUGUACAGACUUGGAGCCAACAACUGUUUUUCUACCUGGGUCUCGUACAUUUUUCUAGGCUUCUAGAAGCUCUUAGCUCAGGGAUCUCAUUGCAUUGAGAUAGAGGGAGCCCAGAGGAUGGACAUUUAACUCAGACUAACUACCAGGAAAAGAUUCAUGGAGGAAUCAGCAUUGGAAUCGAGUUCUAUGAGAUAUAUACUGAGCAACAUGAGGAGUGUACAUGAGUGCUACAUGAGGCCAAGGCUCCUGCUGCUUCUGGGAUUUGCUCCUGUGUGCUCUGGGACAGGGCCUCUAUCAGGAAUUCCCACUUGUUCGAGGGCCAGCUCUCGAAAUCUAGUCUAGACACCCUAACGAGGUGGAGGAUGUAAUUACACCUUGAAACACUCUGUGUACCAGUAACCCAGCUCCUCACGUGUGUGACUCAAGCUCCAAGAGCCUUACGAGGAUUUUUCAAGAUGGAUAGCCCUAGCCCCACUUCGGAGAUGGGAAAACCAAGGCCAGGAAGCCUAGGUUAGGACCACAAAGAAAUAAAAUGGUGGAGCUGGAAUUUGAAAUCUGACACUUGUGACUCCAAAGCCUGCUCUCUCUCUUUCUCUCUCUGGAGCCCAGGAAUGAAACGACACGAGUGUGACUUCAGGCCAACAGACACGGACCAAGUGCUGUUUAGGUAUGUUUUCGUGCAGCGAAGCAAGCCCUUGGAGACCAGCUCAGCCAAAACACACAGUCUGGGGUCAAGGCUUGUCCUCCCCUGGGCAAGAAAUGGAGUUCUUGCCAUCUCCACACUGUUUGCUCAAGUGGUUUUUUCCCCAGAGAUGACUGCUUGCUUGUUUUCAAUUUCCACUGUGACACAAUAAAGAAAGCUCUAAAUGAAUGUUAGAAAAUGUUUUCAGGAAGCAGAACACAGUCAGUGCAACGUGGUGAUCUUGGUGGUAGUGAGUGACCUCACAGGAAGCCAUUCUUUCUUUCUUUCUUUUUUUUUUAAAGAGAGAGAGGGAGUGUGCGCAAGUACUGUGAGUGAGGGGGGCAGGGAGAGGGAGGGAAUCCCAAGCAGACUCCCGCUGAGGGCAGAGCUUGAAGCACCUCGAUCCCCAGCCCUGAGAUCAUGACCUGAACCGAAAUUGAGAGUCGGACCUUUAACUGACUGAGCCACCCUGGCACCCUUCACAGGAACACAUUCUUAUUGGAAAUUUCUUCAGUUCCAACUCUUCCAGCUUCUGGAUGACUCCUCCAAGAACGGCACCUCAGCGGCCCUCCUGAUGAAGUCCUGCCGGAUACCUUUCCUCUGAUUGGGAGGAACCCCAUCUUGGCUCCUGCCUGCAGGCAGUUGGGGCAGUACAACCCAAGGGACUAGUGGGAUUUGUGCCCAAGCCAGAGCCAUCUGCCCCCAGCGUGCAGGUGUGCGACUUCUGAAUGACCCACUGCCCUGAAACAGACAGCCCUUGGGCCUCUGCACCCUCCCCUCCGUCUUCCCGAGAAGCCAGCUCCCUCAGGCCUGGACUACUUCCUAGAGUCUCUCUGCUUACUUGGUUUGGUGGGGAAGAGCCGGGGGCAGCCUGCAAGUUCUCCUGGGGAGAAGGAACGCUAGGCCACACAGCCCUUCCGCCGCAGGCAACCGCACGUGGAAUUUUCCCCGACGUCUGUGCUGUUCUCAAGUUUCCCGACCUGCUCACCCGUGCUUGGAGUUGGUUUUCCAGCUCAGAGAAAAUACUCAGAGCUGCUGGGCCACCAGUUUAGCCUUGAGGCUGUGACUAAAUAAAUAAGAAGGACAGCACCCCACCCCCCGCAACUGGAUCAGUUUAUUUUCAAAGAAAGGGCUUUCCGCACAUGUCCCCAUGGAGCCAACAGGAAGGACUGUGGGCAGUAGACUGCCGUAGCCACACACGGGCAGCUGCAGGACCCUCUCCCUGACCUGUUUAAGUCAUGCCGUGAUUGAUGAUGGCAAUGGAAAAAUAGCAACUGCAGAUGGACAGGCAGCAGGAUAAGCAAAAAACAAUAGUGCUGCUGCUGGCACCUGUCCCUGGCUGAGGUGGACGAGGCACUCUAAGUCGUCUGGUGAUGAAAAACGUGGGUUUGGGAGGCAGACAGUUUGAGUUCCAAUCCCACCCGUAUCCCUGCCAGGCUGGUUGUGUCUGAAUGUGAGACCUGGAACUUCAGUAGCCCUUUUGCCAGCUUUACCAGAGGAUGAAGCACACACUUGAAGUAAGAUAGAGCCAAGAUAGCUACACAGAGAUGUUACUUCAUCUACCCAUCCCAAGCAGCAUGAGACUUUUGGCCCAAAGACAGUGAGCAAAGGAACAUCUGGGCUUCUUUAAAGAUGUGUCAGCUCAUCCCUGCCCCACAUGAUCCAAACUGAUGAAAUUCAACUCUCAACAGUACAACUUAUAUGAAAAGAUGUUCUACAUCUGCAACCUAGAUUUCUUAUCACCAACAGCUACACUCUCAAAUCUCAGCCUACUGCAAGCCGCUCUCAUCAGUCCAAAUGACCUGUUAAAAUUGAGCCCUGUUGAAGCAUCAUAGACUUGUACCUAUCUGAUAAACCACUGUGUUUCUUUGAAGAAGAGAAAAAAAAAGAAAAAGAAAAAAGUGAUCUUGAACUUGGACAGGUGAAAUACCUGACUUGAAAGCAGAGGAAAUAGGAACCCCACUACACUGAACUACAUCAUGGAGAAUCUGUGGUUAAGUAAUUUCCCAGACAAUAAUUUUAAUUUACCAAAAAUGUACUAUUAAAAUAGUAGCCAGAUCUCAAGUCUGUUGCUUGUUAGUUGACCUCACCAUCCGACCACUGGAAGAACAGGACAGGAUGUUUUCCGGACAUUCCACCAUGAAGGCUUAGAAAGAAUUACUAUUCUUUUAUAUAUCAACCUUUAAAUCAUAAAACUCAACUCAUUUCCAUUUGGUAAGGUAAAGGUUGACCAGGCUGUAUUUGAGUGUUUGUGUGUCUGAACUUUAGAAUUAUUUGAAUAUAUGCAUACUCUACUCAUUACAUCUGCUACCUAAAGGCCUUCAACUUAGAAACUGUUGUUUUUUAUUUUUUAAAUCUUGAUUUAGUAAGUGGCUGAGCUUCUUAAUAAUUCACGAAUAUACUCUUGUGGACAAUAAAUUCUACAAAGCCAUUAGAAAAAACUCUCCAUUCUCGUGAGUACAUUUAACAUUCUGCCUGCUACCUUGUUUAAAGUAUCAAAUUUUGUGUAAAUACUUCCUUCAUAAAUUAUAAAAAAGAAAACUUUUUAUAAAAAGCCUCAUUCUGGUAGAAUUACCACCUUCAGCUUGAAGCUCCUAUAUCAAAGUAUUUGUUGACUAGUAUAAUGAAGCAUACUGAGUCUAGAUUUUAAGAUUUCUAAAUCUUUGAACCAGGACAUAUAUUCAUUAUGGGAAAUCCUAUGUUUUAUAAUAAAAUCAAUUCAAAAUACCUGUUAUGUCUCUUCUUGAGCUACAUGUGGGGAAUAAAACAACUGAAAACGCACACCAAUGUCAGUCUUACUCGACCAGUAUUCUUGAGAAGCAUUUUCAUUAAGUCUUUGGACUUAACAGAGGGCCAAGGUAUAAUAUGCAGUCCCUUUCUUUGGUCUGGAUUGUGGCUUAUUCGGUGAAUGUUUCCAAUCCAGCCAGAGCCCUCCCUUUCCCACCACCAAGUCUGCUUUUGAGACAGUAUCCUUUCUGUCCCCUCUGUAGGCUUUCUGGAUCAGCUUAGGGACUGUAAAGUAACUUGACUACUAGACUAAGCCAAACAUAAUUGGGAAAGGAAAGCUGCCAAGAAGUAAUCAGAUCCACUGCAUUCCAAAAUCAAGCCUACUCCAAAUGUCUGAUGGACGACCCCCUUCGCAGCCCACAUGGCUGUGAGACACAUGUGCCUGGAUUUCCAAUUAGAUGCUCCCCCCACCCCCAAUCCACAGACCUGAAGUUCUUCCAACAAGGCAAAGUUGAGCUCAGUCCUACCUGUUCUCAGAUGUGCAUCAGACACCAAACCGUGCAAAACUUACCAAG
Long non-coding RNA from Mustela erminea (ermine), 4273 nucleotides. RefSeq lists it as uncharacterized. Lineage: Eukaryota; Metazoa; Chordata; Mammalia; Carnivora; Mustelidae. The record is from RefSeq and is a predicted model, not a curated record. The transcript is spliced from 11 exons.